Molecule: ribosomal RNA, 140 nt
Filed under: uncultured eukaryote
Lineage: Eukaryota
Description: partial 18S ribosomal RNA
Rfam family: Eukaryotic small subunit ribosomal RNA
Source: RNAcentral
UGGUGGAGCGAUUUGUCUGGUUAAUUCCGAUAACGAACGAGACCUUAACCUGCUAAAUAGUCACACGAACUUCUUGUUCGUGGCUGCACUUCUUAGAGGGACUAUGGAUGUUUAAUCCAUGGAAGUUUGAGGCAAUAACA